This 495-nucleotide ribosomal RNA is filed under the name Rossellomorea marisflavi. RNAcentral describes it as "bacterial SSU rRNA". It matches the Rfam family "Bacterial small subunit ribosomal RNA", at positions 27 to 504 of the family's 1533-position model. Lineage: Bacteria; Bacillati; Bacillota; Bacilli; Caryophanales; Bacillaceae. The record is from RNAcentral.
GGACGAACGCUGGCGGCGUGCCUAAUACAUGCAAGUCGAGCGGAUCGAUGGGAGCUUGCUCCCUGAGAUCAGCGGCGGACGGGUGAGUAACACGUGGGUAACCUGCCUGUAAGACUGGGAUAACUCCGGGAAACCGGGGCUAAUACCGGAUAACACCUACCCCCGCAUGGGGGAAGGUUGAAAGGUGGCUUCGGCUAUCACUUACAGAUGGACCCGCGGCGCAUUAGCUAGUUGGUGAGGUAAUGGCUCACCAAGGCGACGAUGCGUAGCCGACCUGAGAGGGUGAUCGGCCACACUGGGACUGAGACACGGCCCAGACUCCUACGGGAGGCAGCAGUAGGGAAUCUUCCGCAAUGGACGAAAGUCUGACGGAGCAACGCCGCGUGAGUGAAGAAGGUUUUCGGAUCGUAAAACUCUGUUGUUAGGGAAGAACAAGUGCCGUUCGAAUAGGGCGGCGCCUUGACGGUACCUAACCAGAAAGCCACGGCUAACUAC